This 254-nucleotide ribosomal RNA is filed under the name uncultured bacterium. RNAcentral's name for it is "partial 16S ribosomal RNA". It matches the Rfam family "Archaeal small subunit ribosomal RNA", at positions 474 to 727 of the family's 1478-position model. The record is from RNAcentral.
CCCAGGAUCCACAAGUGGCAACCGCUUUUAUUUGGCCUAAAGCGUCCGUAGCUGGUUUUGUAAAUCUUCUGUGAAAUUUCUCGGCUUAACCGAGAAGCGCGCAGGAGACACUGCAUGACUAGGGACCGGGAGGCGUGAGGAGUAUUUCGGGGGGAGCGGUAAAAUGUUAUAAUCCCCGAAGGACUACCUGUGGCGAAGGCGCCUCACGAGAACGGAUCCGACAGUGAGGGACGAAAGCUAGGGGAGCAAAACGG